RNAcentral lists this non-coding RNA (767 nucleotides) under synthetic construct. The record is from RNAcentral.
AUCUCUUGGUGGCUACUCAUCAAAACAGGCCCCGUUUUUGGGCUGUAACCACUUUUCAAUUGCCAACACAUAUUUAACGCAGCACAACAAACCCUCAAUUUCUUGGAACUUAUAAUGGACCCCUUUAAGAAACCAGUGAGAAUGUUGCCCAUAAAGGGGGCCCCGAUCUCUCGACCAAUAAGUGUUUUUACAUUUGACGUGUUUAACCCCCCGGACGAUUCCGAUGGGUCAUCAACUCCAGACUCAGUGUUUGAGGCGGAGACCAGCCCAGCAAGAACUCCUCCAACUCCCGCCUUGAUUCUACCCUAUGAUUAUGUGAGCAGUGAAGACUCUGAUGAUGAAGCACAAGAACAUGCGGAUAACCGGGACACUAAUGACCAGGUCAGCGAGUCAAGUACAAGUGAGGACUCUGAUUCAGAGUCUGAAAGUUCAUGUGACGAUACCCAGCAGACUUUCGUGGACGAUGAGUCCACCAGCUCUUCUGGCGAGGAAGACAGAGAUGAUCCUUUUGAGUCAAAUGACCAGGGCGCGCAGGGCGGGUCGACCUCUGAGUCUGAGGAUGACCUCCCUGCAAUACUGAGGGCUGCACGCGAGACACAAAGUGACAGCUCUAGUGACAGUUCCGGCAACUCCCAUAAAAAAAGGCGAGUGCAGGAAGAAGAAAGUAGUCGCAUCUUGAAAACCCCAGCCCCCAUUUCUGGUAAUGGAAAAUAUAACUGGCCAUGGUUGGAUUGAAACUUUAUUCAAUAAAAAUUAAUAUACAAGUA